CGGCGAGUGAAGCGGCAAAAGCUCAAAUUUGAAAUCCGCAAGGAGUUGUAAAUUGAAGACGCAUGCUUGGUGUGCGCUGGUUUAAGUGCCUUGGAACAGGCCGCCAUGGAGGGUGACAGCCCCGUGAAACCAGUUUGAAGCCAGUGCAGCUUGCAGUCGACGAGUCGAGUUGUUUGGGAAUGCAGCUCUAAGUGGGUGGUAAGCUCCAUCUAAAGCUAAAUACAGGCGAGAGACCGAUAGCGAACAAGUACAGUGAUGGAAAGAUGAAAAGCACUUUGAAAAGAGAGUGAAACAGCACGUGAAAUUGUUGAAAGGGAAGGGCUUGGCCUCAGACGCGGGUGCGCUUCGGUGUGCUCGGGCCAGCAUGGGCUCGUGGGGGGCGACAAGGGCGCGAGAAUGUGGCCCCGCUUCGGCGGGGUGUUAUAGCUCGCGCGGCUAGUCCCACCGCGGGCCGAGGACUGCGCGUAUG
Molecule: ribosomal RNA, 469 nt
Filed under: [Candida] sp.
Lineage: Eukaryota; Fungi; Ascomycota; Saccharomycetes; Saccharomycetales
Description: LSU rRNA
Rfam family: Eukaryotic large subunit ribosomal RNA
Source: RNAcentral